This is a long non-coding RNA of Vespa velutina, 5882 nucleotides long. RefSeq lists it as uncharacterized. Lineage: Eukaryota; Metazoa; Arthropoda; Insecta; Hymenoptera; Vespidae. The transcript has 6 exons. The record is from RefSeq and is a predicted model, not a curated record.
AACUGAGAAUGUAACAUAAUUAUCUUAUUUGUUGUACGAUAUUACGUUCACAUUGAUCUUGAAACAUACAACGAUCAAAAUAUAGGACAACGUAAGAAAAAAAAAACCAACAACAACAUAGAAGUUUAAACAGAAUAUAUACAUACAUGACACGGAACAAAGGUCGACGAUCGUCGAGUAAGAACGUUUCACUCUUCAACACGAAGAGUAAGACGAUACACGAAGAGGCCAUACACGAAAAGGCUUCUGUCGUUUGGUUGGCUUCAAAGGGAAUGUAAGAAUCGCUUCUCCUGGAUGUCUAAGAAGAAGUCGACCGACGCCCUCGCAACGGCGUAACAUUUCGUUCUUCAACAAAUGAUUUCUCACAUUCUGCGACAUUAUUGAGCACGCUGUUACCCACGUGGAAACGUAGGCAAAGUCGUUUCAACGUAGGAACUUGCUGCCGCAGGUGCCACGUCGCUGCUCUUUCUCCAAUAAUUUGAUCGUGGGAAACACAUGUGUAAAUUCGCAAGGCUGAUCACGCGACAGAUCUUGGCGAGUAUGUCUAUGCACUUUACCGGUGCAUCCUGUCGAUUUACGAAUAUACAGUACAAGAAAUAUGAGAAAAAUCAUGAUAUUACCUGCAACAACUGUACGUUGGCGUUCACCUCGGAAACGAUUUUAGCUCUCAUCUUGACGCAAACGAGCACUUGUACGCUAACGGAAUCCUCCGAAAGUGCACUCGAAUGAUCGGCGAGCUACAAUCGAUAGAGAUUCAAUUCGACAAUUGAAUUUGAUUUCGCGAAAAGAGUAGAUGUACUCAAAAAAAUUCUAUUUAAUGGUAAGAAUAAAAGAGAUCGAGAGACAUAUAUACAUUUAAUGGAACAAAAACUUCCUCGACAAUAUUUCACAAUGAUACUAUUUUAACGGUAUAUGUUCUUAUUAACGUGCUUUUCAAAAGUAUACAAACUUUAGAUUAUUUUUUUAUACGUCAUUAUGAUCGACGUUCGAUUAUAAUCAGUAUAAUCAUUUUUAUCAAUCAGUACAAAACUUUAAAUCGUAUUAGUUAUAAUUUGUCUCUGUUUAAUCGUAUGAUAUGACAUCGUUACUCCCAUUCGUUCGUUUACAUCCAUUCGAAAAAAUAUCGAAAUCUGUAUUGAUAGUUUUAUAUGCAAUAAAUAUAGAAAUGAAGACGAUAUUUAUGGUUAUGUAAAAAUGUGAUAAAAAAAAAAAAGACUAGAUAGCUAUAACUGCUGCUAGUAUAUUAUACUUUUAAAAAAGUUAUAAAGAAUAUUUCUUUUUUCUGCCUGAUUUUAAAAUUAUCAAUAGAAUUAUCUGUAUAGAGAUAUUUCAUCGCCUAAAAGAUAUACAUUAAUGAUAGGAGACACAAUUUGUCUGGAAAAUAAACAUAUCAAAAAAAAAAGAAAAAGAAGUAUCGAUGAGAUGAGUCAACGAGAAAAUGUCGAUGGGAAGAUAUUAAUGUAAACAUUGUCGAAUAAUAUGAUAGUAAUUUCAACCUUGAGAUAAGAUAGUUCCUCGAGACAAUUGACCACGUCGCCCUUGACCAUUAGAAAUAAAACAUCCAGGUUCCAAGUGUGAGCAAUCAUCUUGGAUUCCUGCAUGACCCAGAGCCUAGCAGUGUGGACCGAGUGAUCGAGCCUGUGAAGAACGACGAUCUGUUCUGAAAUCGGCAAUUCCAUUAACGGCGCGCCGAUCACCCAUUCACCUCCGACCUCGCACUCGUUGCUCAGCGUUACCAGUAAUUGGAAAAGCUCGCUGAACAUUUGACCCGUGUCCGUGCCCUAGAAAAUGGGUAAAGAGAAAUCGUUAAACGGGUUAUAAUUAAAUCCAACGCGAUUGUCAAAAUAUUUGAAAUUUAAAUUCCAUUCCUACUACGGAGUGUAUUAUUAAAGAAAAAAAAAAAAUACAAAAAAAAAAAAGAGAGAAAGGAAAAGGGAGAUAGAUGCAUAUACAUAUUCAUUUUAUAUCCAUAAUACCUACAUUUAACAAAUCGAGAUAAAAUUAUAUCAAAACAAAUUAAAUAGAGUUAGUUAGCGCUAAACACAGAAAGUAAAAGAGAGAGAGAGGGGGGGGGGAGGAGAGGUAGGAGGGCGGGAAAGAUGAAGAGAAAGAAUUUAAAUGCAUAAUAUUAUUUCUAAUGAAAUAAGAUAAGAUCAUUACACGAAAAGAAAUACAAUGGAAAAGUAAUAAAGCUAGUUAAAGUUACUAAGUUGAAAACUGUUAAAGAGAUAAAAAAAAAAAAAGAAAGAGAGUAAGAAAAAAAAAACAAUCUCAAAAGAAAGAAAAAAAAAAGAAAAAAACCAACCUCAGUAGUAGAAGGUCUCGAUUGGCAUUUGAAGGCAGACGUAUACGCUAUUCGAAAUAAUUGGUCCCAAGAUGUGAUAGUAACGUGAUAACCGAGAGCAUCGCAUAAAUUUUGUAAAGCAGGUUUAACUGUCGGCGGAACUAAAAUUUGAUCAUCGAAUUAUUCGAACUCUUCAACGUCAAACGUAUAUUCCAUGAAGUGAUUACGUGCCUCACCCGCAUUUUUUUGAAUGAAUUGUCUCAACCAGUUUUUCAAGUGUUCCGCUCCAUGAUUAUGAUGAGAAGCCAGAGCUUCCGGUGACCACCAUAGAACAACAUGAUCUAACAUCCCCGAAAGAGCUGCCCAAGCUACUUCCUGAUAAUAAUUUUUUACCUUUCUUAUCGCGCUACCUUUUAGUCUCUUUUCUCCUGUAAACGAUUCGAAAAAAUUAAUUAUAUUCGAGUCAAAUAUAUUUCAUUUUAAUCGUUAUAAGUUAUACAGAACGUUUCACGUAAAAUAGUUCGCCUAAUCCAUCUUCUUUAAUUGUCACGAUAUGAAAAAUUGAAGGAAAAUUUCGAAGGAAAUUAGAUCGAGAUAAAAUGUUUUUUCUUUUUUUUUUUUUUUUUUUUCAAUUGGAUCGGGCUCAUUGAAACCACUCAAAUUGGAUAAAAAUUAUUUUUAACGUCUUUACAAUUAACCAAGACAAUUAGAUUACUUGUUUUAAGUGAUACACCCGGUAUAUUAAUCGUACAUCUUUUGCAUUUUUCAUUAAAAUUUCCCUUAGGUCUAUUCUUAAAGUGUAAUAUUAUUAUUAUAAUUAAUAUUAUCACGAAAAAUUUUCUUCGUUGAAGUUAACUAAUAAGCAACUUUCGAUAACCGACCUUCUAUCUUGAAGGGAAAAGUUAAGGAAGAUGCUCUAUUAUUUCCUUGAAAUUAUUUUUAUAAAAAAAGAUCGUUAUUUCAAAAGAAUAAAGUUAUAUAUCGUACCAUCAAUAAUCUUCAAAGCGUCGGAACCAAGUAACUGUGGUGAAAUAUCUUGGACAAUGCUAAGAAGUCUUAGAACUUGUUCAUUCUGAGUAUUCACAAGUGCUUGAAUACUCUCGAGAUUCGAUGGUUGUGUUUGUUGAAAUGUUGAGGCAUCGCUAACGAUUGGUGGCGUCAAGUGUCUCGUGAGAGCUCUAAAAGGAUGUAACGCAAUAACAUGUUUAAUUAUUAAUUCAUCUAUUUUCCAACGUUAAUGAUAAUAUAAACGGUUGAGACCAUUAGAUGUUAACAAACCAACCGAUAAAUCUCGAUGCUAGAAUUCUCGGAAAGGUCAACGUCAUUGGAUGCUGAUGUAACGUCCUCUUUCGUGUGUGAUUCAUAAUUUGCUAAUAGACAAUCGAUUAAUUCAUGACACGUUUCCUCGGCACGAUUUUUCGCCAAUAUCUGCGACAAUUGACAUUAUUAAUUAUUUUUAUUUGAUAAAUAAAUCAAUGAUCAAACUUCGAAUAUAUUCUUACUUGUAAUAUUCGAGUUACGGAAAAUUUCUUCAAAGGUUCUAACAAAGAUGGACAAUCAUUGCAAAAGACAUUAACGGACGUAUCCAAGAUAUCAUGAUCCAAAUCGAGCAUUUUGUUAUAUGCAUUAAUCAUUUUAAAGAUGAUACGUAAUAUCUCGUCGGUUUUGGAAUCAACGAUCUCGCUUAUGAGAUUUCGAGUGAAUUUAGCGACGACAUUAUGUUUUCUUUUCAAUAUCAUAGAAAAGUAUUGCACUUUGUAUUUGUAAAUUGGAUGCGUUAUUUCCGUCAUUUCAUUGAACAAUGAUUUAUAACUUUUCGUUAUGUCUUCGAGAUUAUCGAUGAUCUCCUCGAAUAUCUGCAAUCGUGCGUUUAUUACUUUUUUUUCUUUUUUUUUUUUUUUACAAUAAAAUUCGAUUAUCUCAUUAUAUUAAAAAUUAAAAAAAUCUUACACUAUGGGACAAUAAAACAAGAAACAAAGAAAUAAAGAAAAAAAAAGAGAGAGAGAGAGAAAGAGAGGAGAGUAGGAGAGGUACGAUUGUAGCAAUUAAAAGCAAUAGUUUCCUACCUCGAAAUCACAAGCUUGUGCUUUCGCAACAUCCUCGAUUAUUAAGGCUAUAUGUUCCGCGAGUUUGCUCAUCCUCUCGUUUAACACGGAAGAGUCUGCCAACCAGUUCUCGAGGGCAACUCCAGGAAAGGGUAGCCACUUGGCGAUAUUCGCUCUGUAAUUAGUAUCCAUGCGUUUCCUUGAUGUUGGCUAUUCCUAUGUAUAUACAUAUAACGUUUCGAUUAAUUUCUCCUUCCUUGACAUUCGAGGUAGUUGAUUCCCCUUCUUCUUCUUCGUCUUCUUCUCCUCUUCUUUCUUCUUUUUCUUCUUCGUAAAUCUUUCUCGAUCUUCUCCCGCAUUUACUUUCUUUGUGCAAAUUAGCAUACCAUAUCAAUUAACUUCGCAAUUAUUUUCCAUCGUUAAUUAUUUUUCUCUCGUAAAUAUCGAUCUUCAUUCAUUGUUUCCCCUAAAGGUUCAUUAACUUUUAUUAAAUAAUUAGUAUUUUCUUUGUGAUCUAUGAAAUAUACGAAUGAUUUUAUGAGACAAUAAUAUUCUACUGUAUUUACAUCGUUAGUUACCACGGUUACCUUGGUGCAUGACAAUGUAUUAAAACGUUCUAAUAAUUACGUAUAUAAUUUUCUAGUAAAAUUAUUACUAUAUAUAUAUGUGUGUGUGUGUGUGUGUGUGUGUGUGUGUGUGUGUGUGUGCAUAGGUGUGUUAAAUGUUUGUAAAUAUAUCUUUUUAUUAUAUACGUUUGUAAAAAUUUCUUUAUCGAUCAAACAUCUCUAUUAAAUUCUUUCGUCAUUAUUUGAGGUUAUUGAAUGAUAUUUAUUUAAUUGGAAAGAGUAGCAUAUAAGAAAUAACAGAUAUAGAAGAUUGAUUUAUAAAAAAAAAAAAAAAAAAAAAAAAAAAGAAAGAAAAAAAAAAGACGUUUAGUUUCAAGCAGGUUAGAUCCUUAAAUCUUAGAUAAACUAUAACAUUAUUUGAUAAAACAGUUUUCUCGCGUAAAAUUCUACUUUAUCGACACUACAGUGUACUUCUUACAUCUAUCGGUAAUAUAGUUUGCGACACGAAGAAGUUCAACAAUUUCCAUCGUUUAUUCGCUCUAAGUUACAUAUUGUCUAUGAAUAAAAUAAAACCAAAUUCUAUGUAUAAGUUAAGCCAUCUUUAAAACUAUUGAACGAAGGAAAUCGUAACAAUAAAGGAUUGUUCUAGCAGUAUUUAAAGUGUUUCUGAUAUAAAUUCUUGUAGAACAUUUAACAUCGACAUAAAACUAUGUCGAAUUUACGUAGCACGUUAUACAACAUCUUUUUAAAACGAACAUCUACGUAUGCUCUGACUAUAAUAACCGGAACAUUUUUAUUCGAACGUGCUUUCGAUUUAGCCAGUGACACAUUAUUUUAUACGAUCAACAAAGGAAAACUAUGGAAAGACAUCAAACACAAGUAUGAAGAGUAAAUGGGCUGAUUAGAAAUUUUUAUAUACUAGUUGUAUAUUUAAUAGACAAUUGUUUUCUCUGUGAGAAUGUAAAUAAAAAAGCAAGUGGUACAUAA